Molecule: long non-coding RNA, 1320 nt
Filed under: Medicago truncatula (barrel medic)
Lineage: Eukaryota; Viridiplantae; Streptophyta; Magnoliopsida; Fabales; Fabaceae
Description: long non-coding RNA (MTRU_LNC000890)
Source: RNAcentral
CCGCCAUCAUCAUUUCUGCCGUCAUCAGUCUUGUGGACUAUCAGGCAGCAAUUUUGAUCUGGAAGACUGAUAAAUUCGAUUUUGUUGCCUGCAUGGGAGCAUUCUUUGGGGUUGUUUUCGUCUCGGUUGAGAUAGGACUUCUAAUUGCUGUAAGUACCAAAUCUUAGUUAUCCUAUGCUCUAAAUUGUCAAAGUAAUUCCUAAUAGGGGAGGGUGUACAUAAGACAUAAUAUUCUUCAAACCAACCUUAAAUUUAAAUACUAGGAAUAAGUAGGACAAGAAGAAAUUGACAUGAAACACAAGCUAAGUAAAAUUAUUAGAUUCUCGCAUAGCAUAACCAGAGUCUAUGUACUUUAUGAUAAAUUAUGACAUUGCUAAGUAAACAGAUAAUAUCACAGCAAUUUAAACGCGGAAUACAUUUUUAGAUAAAUGAAAAUAUGAAAUAAUAUUAAAACUAAAAAUCACACAUGAGAGUAACCAAAAGGUUUAAUGAGACCUUAUUUUUGUGACAGGUUUCAAUAUCUUUUGCAAAGAUCCUAUUACAAGUGACAAGGCCAAGAACUGCUAUUUUGGGGAAGAUUCCUGGGACAUCUGUCUAUAGAAACAUCCAACAAUACACUGAAGCUAGUAAGGUUCCAGGUGUAAUGAUUGUAAGAGUUGAUUCUGCUAUAUAUUUUUCCAACUCCAACUAUGUUAAAGAAAGGUAAAUAAUAUCUUCCUCCUUUGUUUAUACAUUUGAAACAGUCCAAUUUGAACUUUUCCUUAAGACUUAAGAUUGUAUUCUUUUGCAGAAUAUUAAGAUGGCUAACGGAUGAAGAAGCAGUGAAAGGAGACUACCAUACAAGAAUUCAGUUUUUGAUAGUUGAAAUGUCACGUUAGUAUAUAUACUUAUUUUUGUCCUUAAUUUGUUUUAGCCUCAUAUUCCUUGAGUAAUUUAUUUUAGACUAACCAAUUGUGAUUAUAUGUUGCAGCGGUUACUGACAUCGAUACGAGUGGCAUCCAUGCCUUUGAAGAGUUGCAUAGAAGUCUUGAAAAAAGAGGUGUUCAGGUAACAAAAUUAAUCAUAUCAGCUAGGAUUUAUCAUUUAUGUAUAUGAAGAAGCUUGGUUCAUUUAUAUACUAUAUGAUAUAAAUCAUGAUACUAUAUGAUAGGAAAAGUUAAUAUGUUAAUUCUUACCAAGAAUGUGUUACUUGUUUGAGCAGCUUGUUCUGGCAAAUCCUGGUUCAGCAGUGACAGACAAACUUUACACAUCAAAUUUUGCUAACAUAAUUGGUCAGGACAACAUUUUCCUCACUGUUGCAGCAGCUGUUGCAAAUUGUGC